UUUUGUGUUUAGUUUUGUUUUGUUUUACUAUAGUUAAGUAAAAAGUUAAGUUUAUACAAAGGCGAUGGAAUCAAGCACUCUAGUAUCUGUACUCUAAUACCGUACACUGUAUCUUCUAUCUGCAGCACAAUCCACAUUCUCAAUUACAUUACAUUCCCCCACGACCACAAAAGAAGAAGACUUUCAAGGUAGUCGCUCGCAAUAAGUGCAAUCUGGUGUUCACUUCUCGAAAAAUCAAAAAAUGAAAAUCGAAAAACCAACGCAAACAACAAUUUGGAACUCUGAAAACCUUUUCAAUGCUAAUAUUUACUCUAUAUUUUGAUACUAAAAAUGAUUAUAUUUUGAUACUAAAAAUGAUUAUAUUU
This is a long non-coding RNA of Drosophila persimilis, 365 nucleotides long. RefSeq lists it as uncharacterized. The transcript has 3 exons. NCBI's taxonomy places the organism in Eukaryota, Metazoa, Arthropoda, Insecta, Diptera, Drosophilidae. The record is from RefSeq and is a predicted model, not a curated record.